Molecule: ribosomal RNA, 484 nt
Filed under: uncultured bacterium
Lineage: Bacteria
Description: bacterial SSU rRNA
Rfam family: Bacterial small subunit ribosomal RNA
Source: RNAcentral
GACGAACGCUGGCGGCGUGCUUAACACAUGCAAGUCGAGCGGAAAGGCCACUUCGGUGGUACUCGAGCGGCGAACGGGUGAGUAACACGUGAGUAAUCUGCCCUUCACUUCGGGAUAGCUUCGGGAAACCGAGAUUAAUACCGGAUACGACCAACCUACGCAUGUGGUGUUGGUGGAAAGUUUUUUCGGUGGGGGAUGUGCUCGCGGCCUAUCAGCUUGUUGGUGGGGUAAUGGCCUACCAAGGCUUCGACGGGUAGCCGGCCUGAGAGGGUGACCGGCCACACUGGGACUGAGACACGGCCCAGACUCCUACGGGAGGCAGCAGUGGGGAAUAUUGGACAAUGGGCGGAAGCCUGAUCCAGCAACGCCGCGUGAGGGAUGACGGCCUUCGGGUUGUAAACCUCUUUCAGCGCAGACGAAGCGAAAGUGACGGUAUGCGCAGAAGAAGGACCGGCCAACUACGUGCCAGCCGCCGCAGUAACAC